UACGUAGGUGGCAAGCGUUGUCCGGAUUUACUGGGCGUAAAGAGCGCGCAGGCGGUCGUUCAAGUCGCGUGUGAAAGCCCCGGCUCAACUGGGGAGGGUCACGCGAUACUGAUCGACUCGAAGGCAGGAGAGGGUAGUGGAAUUCCCGGUGUAGUGGUGAAAUGCGUAGAUAUCGGGAGGAACACCAGUGGCGAAGGCGACUACCUGGCCUGUUCUUGACGCUGAGGCGCGAAAGCUAGGGGAGCAAACGGG
Molecule: ribosomal RNA, 252 nt
Filed under: uncultured bacterium
Lineage: Bacteria
Description: partial 16S ribosomal RNA
Rfam family: Bacterial small subunit ribosomal RNA
Source: RNAcentral